GAUGAACGCUGGCGGCGUGCUUAACACAUGCAAGUCGAACGAAGCACUUUUGACUAGAUUCUUCGGAUGAUUGAUUUAGUGACUGAGUGGCGGACGGGUGAGUAACGCGUGGGUAACCUGCCUCAUACAGGGGGAUAACAGUUAGAAAUGACUGCUAAUACCGCAUAAGCGCACAGGACCGCAUGGUCUGGUGUGAAAAACUCCGGUGGUAUGAGAUGGACCCGCGUCUGAUUAGCUAGUUGGUGGGGUAACGGCCUACCAAGGCAACGAUCAGUAGCCGGCCUGAGAGGGUGAACGGCCACAUUGGGACUGAGACACGGCCCAA
RNAcentral lists this ribosomal RNA (325 nucleotides) under uncultured bacterium. RNAcentral describes it as "bacterial SSU rRNA". It matches the Rfam family "Bacterial small subunit ribosomal RNA", at positions 28 to 334 of the family's 1533-position model. The record is from RNAcentral.